Long non-coding RNA from Musa acuminata AAA Group (dessert banana), 664 nucleotides. RefSeq lists it as uncharacterized. The transcript has 2 exons. Lineage: Eukaryota; Viridiplantae; Streptophyta; Magnoliopsida; Zingiberales; Musaceae. The record is from RefSeq and is a predicted model, not a curated record.
UGCACGAGCGUCCCUUUUCUCGUUUCGUUGUUUUUUCCGCGCACUCGGGUGUGAGAGGGAGUACUGUGUUGAUCAUAUUACAAGAGGAUCAGGUGCAGUUCUAUAUAGACAGGUGACGAGAAAGGGAAAGAAGAAUAUAUUUCAUGGGCUUAUUUAGGCUUUUCCAAACAAGGUUUUUCGUGGUGUGUUUAUAAGGAAAUAUUGGAUUGUGAUCGGAUGUCAGAGAUGGGCAAGAAGAGAGCCAAGAAGAAAUCGACCUCAGAAAUUUCUGGUGUGGAAUCAUCGGUUCAAGCCACAGCUUCACAACAUGGUGGAAGAAAGAGAGGCAGGCCUCGCAAAGUGGCAGCAGACGACGAGACAGAAGAAGAGGAGCUUAGGGAGGAGGAGGAAGAAUACAAGGAGCAAGCAAGGAGCGUAGGAGAUGAAGGGGAGCAGAAGGAACCCGAAGCAUCCUCCUCACCUUCUGCCAAGAAGGAAGAACUCACUGCAGAUCAAAACCAACAUCGACAAGAAGAUGAACCAGAGAGAAGAAAGAGAAAGAGUCGACAGCCUCGAAGGAGCUCUUGAACCCACUUACUCACUACAUGUCGUCUUCCAUCUUCUGCCAGUUUCCAUAACUUUGUUCUGUCUUCUAUUUGGGUGAAUCCAUGCAACUCUUCCUUUA